CUAUCGCGACAUCCGUUGUGGGUCCCAUACCCAUUGUGACAUCACCUGUGGGUCCUCACUUACUGUGACACUCCUGUGGGUCCCACAGCCAUGGCAACAUCCCUAUAGGUCCCACAAGUGUUGAGACAUCCCCAUGGGUGACAAGAUCCAGCAUCCCAUUCCUGAAUUCUCCAGAAUUCUAGGUUCAAUUUCACAACCCAUUCCACUCUGGCCAGGUGUGGUAAAUGGUCAGGGUUUAAUGUUCACCCCCUAUACCUCCCUCCUUCCUUCCCUCCUAAACAUCCCAGGCUAAAGGGGAAACCCAUCUCCUCUCUUCCCUCUGUGCUGGCUUCCUGCUGACAUCAUAACAUACCUUCAUGAGGUACUAGGGGUUGUUCCACAUCAAGGGGGGUGUCCCACAUCAAGGAGGGUCCCUGAGCCACUUCCCAGCAAGGGCUGGGGUCUGUGGGGUCUCCCCUCUGUGUAGCUGUUCAGAGCCAGGGCAGAGCAGCUCUGGUGCCACACAGCAGGGAAAGGAGAAGGAAAUGUCCCUUUUGGAAGUGAGCAAGGAAGAGAGGAAGACAGAAUUCCUAUGCACAGAUGGCAGCUUUCAAAUGCAGCCUGGUCUGGUUUCAGAGAGCAGAAAGAACAACCUCUAAUGCACUGUUCAUUUGCUGCAGGGCAGCUUCCAGACUUUGAGAGAACAGCAGAAGAGGACACUUGAAUAAAAUUCUGAGUGCGGGUUCAGCCUUUUCAUAGCAAUCUUUCCUGUCUAACUCUUGCUUCCAGCUCUCUGCUGGCUCAUCCUGCUGAAAAUGUAUUUUGGGCCUCAUUGUCCAGUGGAAAGGACAGUUUAUGUGAAAAAUCGGUGCACUGGAGGACUGAGAGGGCAAGAACAUUUGUUUCAAAUGGAUUUCCCACUCUGGUUGAUGUUCAGCUUCCCUCUCAAAGGACUUUGCAGUUUCUGUCUGUGAACAUCAGAAGAAAAAGACUUCCAGGAGAACUGGGGAGAAAGGAAAUCUGGGCACCAGCAAUCAAUCACUUGUUUUCACAAGGCUGCAAAGGGAACUGGCAUCUGCGUAAGCACUUUGCAGUAAAUAGCUGCCUCAUUUUACAUUGGAAGUCAGCAAGCAUUGUGGCACAUAGAACUGUGAACAACAGAGGGAAACAACAAAAAUAAUAAUUACUUACCCAGACAGAAAACAACCAAUUGGUUGAGUUGCCAAGUGGUCAAAGUGUUUCUAUUGGGGGAAAACAGAGUGUUUUACAUCCUUCAGCCAAUUUAGAAUAUAUGUUAAGAAUAUGUUUGAAAAGGAAAGCAGGAGACUGAUGAAAUCUACCCCUGAGCUGGGCAGCUUUACCAGUGUGGGCAUUUUUUCCAUUAUGUUAGAACUGGGGCAGAAGCUGUUGAGUGGAUGGGGUUAUAACUGCUGCUUUUCACUAACUUCGGUGGGAAAAUUCUCUAAAACGUUGGUUCCACAGGGUGCAAAUGCUGAGUCAAUGAAAUGCAUUUAACACCUUGAAGAAAUAUUGUUCACUGAUUUAGAAAAGGAAACAGGAAAUUAACCUCAUAUUCUAAUCAUUAAACCAUUGAAGUUGGGUAGAAAAGAGUUUGCUCCUGACCCUCAAUUCAUAUGUUUAUUUAUUUCUUAAUUAUUUUAAACGUUAGCAAUGGCUUGUGGCAUAAAAUGCAUUGUGCAGAGUCAUGUGAUGAGAUGAUACAACAGCAUGGUGUAGUCCCAUCAAGACUGAUGACAUCAUGGCAAGGGAGGGCCAGUCAAUAUGUCCAAGGGCAGGGCUGCCAUUCAGAGGAGAAAGAGACCCACAGGGGCCCCACACAAUCCAGGCAGGAGCCAUGGGCAGCACUGCCUUGAGUGGCAAAGCCCUGGAAAUGAUGUUGGAUGGGAAUCAAAGAAAGCCCAUCUGCCCAAAUGCCAUCAUCUCUCAGGAAUAAAUACCUCCACGUGAGCAAUCACUUUGAAGAUCUGAUUCUUGUAACAGACUACCAAAGCACUGACCUCACACGUUCCAUAGUGGAAGCUGCUAUAACCGGCUGUUUCGAGAACAAGCAAGCCAGGCAAACCAAGAAGCUGAAAGUGUGAUGCAAAUUGAAUUUUAUGAGACGUUCAGAUGCCAUCCAGCGAAUAGCAACAAAAUUCUCAGUAAGAAAAAAUGAACAACAAAGUAAGGAAGUAAAGAGCUGUUAUUGGAAGAUCCUUUUGGGAGGAAGGAACUUCUGACUCCUGCAAAAGAUAAGUUAUAUGUUCUGAUCAUGAAAAGGUAAGUUCAAUGUGGAAAGUUGCCAGGUGAAUUCAAAGGAGGUUAGACUUGACAAAGGAUGAGUGCAGCAUUUCAAGUCCCGUAGUGAUCAACUAUUGUAUUUCCUGAGCUGUAUUACCAGCAAAUUUUACUGAGUUUACAUCCAGAACAUAUCACUAUGCCAGGGAAGAGCUUUUAGUGUUCCCAAAAUGUUGCUGCAAAGGCUCUGUUUCAACUAGUCAAUAUCUUUUGAGAAAAAAGAAUAGACAGGCAGGAAUUCAGAAAGAUUCCUGACAAAGUCCUGCUGCACAGUCAAAGUAUUUUAAGAGAUUGACUACUUCCUAUUGAAAAAAUACGGUGUUGUUAAAUGUAUUAUCUAAGCAAAAUGUAGAUUUAAAGUAAAUAUAUUAUUCCCAAUCUCUUUGGAAAAACAUGCCUCUUUCUGUCCCUGGUCUGCACUGUUUAAUAUCAAUGGGAAAACUGAAAAAAAAGCAGCACCAAGCUGUUCUAUGAAGAAAUUUUAUUAAGGGAUGCAGAAGGAAAAACUUUCUGCUCAGCCAAAUAUGAGAAUUUUUGAACAUAUACAAAGAAAUGACCAAAUUAUUCCUGAGAGGUAUUUAUGUGUUUUGUGAAGGGAAUCAAUUUCUGCAAUGUGUUGACAGCGGCUUAUUUGUUGUUGAUACAUUUAAAAGGGCACUUGAGAGACAAUUGACUACAUUGACUGCAGAGGAAAAAUUUAUUACCUGUAGCACAAGAUGGGGAGGAUUGCAGGUAGUUGAAAUAUUGGCUAUUUUGAAUGGACUCACAGUCCAUCUUUUUAAGCCAUUACUAAUGGGAAUUUAGGUUGCAGCUGUGUGUGAAAUGAAUUUAUUGGCCUUCUUUCUGCAAUAUCCCAGCUCUGUGCUAACUGGGUAAUGGUUUCUUACUAAAGCUGAAUCUUCAACAGGGAUAUGUGAGGUGCUGGAGAAAGUGUCUGAAUUCCAGCAUGGUGCAGCUCCAGGAACUGGUGUGCCCAAGGCUCUCUUUGCUGUCAAGACAGUUAACCAGACAAGAUUAAUGAUACUGGUGGGCCUGGAGUAUUCUUGAAAAAUAUGGCUUCUCCUACCGUCCCAUUUUAAACAUCAUUUUGGAUUUUAAUCACUUGCAGAAGGUGCUUUUGCUUCUCAUCCACCUCUGACAAAAACAUCCCUCCUAGAUGUACAGCACAUGAGAUAUGUGGUAUGGGUCAAUCUGCAAGUCAUUUCACUGCUGUUUCCCACUACUCAUCAAUAAAAUAAAAAAUAAAUUAA
This is a long non-coding RNA of Pseudopipra pipra, 3527 nucleotides long. RefSeq lists it as uncharacterized. NCBI's taxonomy places the organism in Eukaryota, Metazoa, Chordata, Aves, Passeriformes, Pipridae. The transcript is spliced from 4 exons. The record is from RefSeq and is a predicted model, not a curated record.